GGUAGAGAAGCGAAAGUGGAUGACCCUUCGGGAGCUGUACAGGUGCUGCAUGGCUGUCGUCAGCUCGUGUCGUGAGAUGUCGGUUAAGUCCGCUAACGAGCGCAACCCUCGCUGUGUGUUACAAGUGUCACACGGAACUGCCGGUCAUAAACCGGAGGAAGGUGGGGAUGACGUCAAGUCAGCAUGGCCUUUAUAUCCUGGGCUACACACACGCUACAAUGGGAAGGGACAAUAGGUUGCGAAACCGCGAGGUGGAGCCAAUCCAGCAAAACUUCCCUCAGUUCAGAUUGCAGGCUGCAACUCGCCUGCAUGAAGUUGGAGUUGCUAGUAAACGCAGGUCAGCCAUACUGCGUUGAAUACGUUCCCGGGGCUU
Molecule: ribosomal RNA, 373 nt
Filed under: uncultured Anaerolineaceae bacterium
Lineage: Bacteria; Bacillati; Chloroflexota; Anaerolineae; Anaerolineales; Anaerolineaceae
Description: bacterial SSU rRNA
Rfam family: Bacterial small subunit ribosomal RNA
Source: RNAcentral